GUACACAAAAAUGCACAUGCUGUGAGCUCGAUGAGUAGGGCGGGACACGUGGUAUCCUGUCUGAAUAUGGGGGGACCAUCCUCCAAGGCUAAAUACUCCUGACUGACCGAUAGUGAACCAGUACCGUGAGGGAAAGGCGAAAAGAACCCCGGCGAGGGGAGUGAAAAAGAACCUGAAACCGUGUACGUACAAGCAGUGGGAGCACGCUUAGGCGUGUGACUGCGUACCUUUUGUAUAAUGGGUCAGCGACUUAUAUUCUGUAGCAAGGUUAACCGAAUAGGGGAGCCGAAGGGAAACCGAGUCUUAACUGGGCGUUAAGUUGCAGGGUAUAGACCCGAAACCCGGUGAUCUAGCCAUGGGCAGGUUGAAGGUUGGGUAACACUAACUGGAGGACCGAACCGACUAAUGUUGAAAAAUUAGCGGAUGACUUGUGGCUGGGGGUGAAAGGCCAAUCAAACCGGGAGAUAGCUGGUUCUCCCCGAAAGCUAUUUAGGUAGCGCCUCGUGAAUUCAUCUCCGGGGGUAGAGCACUGUUUCGGCAAGGGGGUCAUCCCGACUUACCAACCCGAUGCAAACUGCGAAUACCGGAGAAUGUUAUCACGGGAGACACACGGCGGGUGCUAACGUCCGUCGUGAAGAGGGAAACAACCCAGACCGCCAGCUAAGGUCCCAAAGUCAUGGUUAAGUGGGAAACGAUGUGGGAAGGCCCAGACAGCCAGGAUGUUGGCUUAGAAGCAGCCAUCAUUUAAAGAAAGCGUAAUAGCUCACUGGUCGAGUCGGCCUGCGCGGAAGAUGUAACGGGGCUAAACCAUGCACCGAAGCUGCGGCAGCGACACUGUGUGUUGUUGGGUAGGGGAGCGUUCUGUAAGCCUGCGAAGGUGUGCUGUGAGGCAUGCUGGAGGUAUCAGAAGUGCGAAUGCUGACAUAAGUAACGAUAAAGCGGGUGAAAAGCCCGCUCGCCGGAAGACCAAGGGUUCCUGUCCAACGUUAAUCGGGGCAGGGUGAGUCGACCCCUA
RNAcentral lists this ribosomal RNA (1015 nucleotides) under Escherichia coli. RNAcentral's name for it is "partial 23S ribosomal RNA". It matches the Rfam family "Bacterial large subunit ribosomal RNA", at positions 375 to 1393 of the family's 2925-position model. The record is from RNAcentral. Lineage: Bacteria; Pseudomonadati; Pseudomonadota; Gammaproteobacteria; Enterobacterales; Enterobacteriaceae.